RNAcentral lists this ribosomal RNA (497 nucleotides) under uncultured bacterium. RNAcentral's name for it is "partial 16S ribosomal RNA". It matches the Rfam family "Bacterial small subunit ribosomal RNA", at positions 28 to 507 of the family's 1533-position model. The record is from RNAcentral.
GAUGAACGCUGGCGGCGUGCUUAACACAUGCAAGUCGAACGGUGACACGCCUUCCUUUUUGGUCGGUGGGGAUGCGUGGAGGACGGGUGAGUAAGAGGUGAGUAACCUGCUCCCUCCUUCAGGAUAACCGGAUGAAAGAGCGGAUAAUACGGGAUAUUCUGAGCCUGUCGCAUGAUGGGUCUGGGAAGGAUAUUGUUUCGGUUGGGGAUGGGCUCGCGGCGGAUUAGCUUGUUGGUGGGGUAAUGGCCUACCAAGGCGAUGAUGCGUAGCCGCCCUGAGAGGAGGAUCGGCGAUCCCGGAGCUGAGAAAAGGCCGAGAAUCCUCCGGCAGGAAGCAGUAGGGAAUAUUAUGCAAUGGGCGGAAGCAUGAUGAAGCAACGCCGCGUGGGGGAGGAAGGACUCCGGCUGGUAAAGAACUUUUGUCGGGAAUGAAGCAGGCCUGCCUCAUUUGUGGGUGUGUUGACGGUAGCUGAAUAAGAAGCGCCGGCUAACUACGUG